CUAAAGGGAGUUUUAGUAUUCAUUGUGGUCUUUACUGUGUUAAAGCUUCAGAAUAAACAAAGACAAAUGCCAGUAAAUUAAACUGAAAACUAGGAACAAGAAAAGCAGUUUGUGUGUACUUUCAGGAAUUACGUAAUACCCCACAUGCCAUACAAUUGCUAAUUCAUGCUUUCUUUCUUUUGCGCCACUCAGAGGUUCAAAAGUGCAGCAGUGGUGAUGGAGCAUGACAUGUAAAGUACAGCAAACCUCUUAUUUUUUUUUAAUGUAAAGCAUUCUUAUGGUAAAAAUCCAUUAACUUCAAUGGGAGAAGAGACACUCCAGAAGACGGACUGUCCCAUGAAGGAACAUGAGCUAGUGUGAAAUGACUACAUUACUACUGGAAGACAGAAGAUCUGCCAGAUUAGGCGAGACACAGGCCACCGUCUCUGUGGACAUCAGGCCAUAGCUGCACACCAACAUUUACAGAAUGAUACUCUGUGUUUCCCAAGCUAAUUAUAAAUUUAGCAUCUAAAGGCGAGGUUGUCUCAACUUCUGUGCCUAUAAUAUGUUUGAACCUCCUUGUCUACUGCAAUGGGAUUCUGAUCUCCUACGGGUUGUAGACAAUUUU
Long non-coding RNA from Mauremys reevesii (Reeves's turtle), 607 nucleotides. RefSeq lists it as uncharacterized. The transcript has 3 exons. The record is from RefSeq and is a predicted model, not a curated record. NCBI's taxonomy places the organism in Eukaryota, Metazoa, Chordata, Testudines, Geoemydidae.